RNAcentral lists this ribosomal RNA (500 nucleotides) under uncultured bacterium. Its description in RNAcentral is "partial 16S ribosomal RNA". It matches the Rfam family "Bacterial small subunit ribosomal RNA", at positions 30 to 523 of the family's 1533-position model. The record is from RNAcentral.
AUUGAACGCUGGCGGCAGGCUUAACACAUGCAAGUCGAGCGGUAGAGGGGAGCUUGCUUCCCUUGAGAGCGGCGGACGGGUGAGUAAUGCCUAGGAAUCUGCCUGGUAGUGGGGGACAACGUUCGGAAACGGACGCUAAUACCGCAUACGUCCUACGGGAGAAAGUGGGGGAUCUUCGGACCUCACGCUAUCAGAUGAGCCUAGGUCGGAUUAGAUAGUUGGUAGGGUAAAGGCCUACCAAGGCGACGAUCCGUAACUGGUAUGAGAGGAUGAUCAGUCACACUGGAACUGAGACACGGUCCAGACUCCUACAGGAGGCAGCAGUGGGGAAUAUUGGACAAUGGGCGCAAGCCUGAUCCAGCCAUGCCGCGUGUGUGAAGAAGGUCUUCGGAUUGUAAAGCACUUUAAGUUGGGAGGAAGUUCAGUAAGUUAAUACCUUGUUGAAUUGACGUUACCGACAGAAUAAGCACCGGCUAACUCUGUGCCAGCCGCCGUGGUAA